Molecule: ribosomal RNA, 237 nt
Filed under: uncultured bacterium
Lineage: Bacteria
Description: partial 16S ribosomal RNA
Rfam family: Bacterial small subunit ribosomal RNA
Source: RNAcentral
GCACAAGCAGUGGAGUAUGUGGUUUAAUUCGAAGCAACGCGAAGAACCUUACCAGGUCUUGACAUCCAACUAACGAAGUAGAGAUACAUUAGGUGCCCUUCGGGGAAAGUUGAGACAGGUGGUGCAUGGUUGUCGUCAGCUCGUGUCGUGAGAUGUUGGGUUAAGUCCCGCAACGAGCGCAACCCUUGCUAUUAGUUGCUACGCAAGAGCACUCUAAUAGGACUGCCGUUGACAAAA